CCCCAAGAAAAUCUUCUAGCGAGGUUCGAGCCGCCCGUACCCCAAACCGACUCAGGUGGUUAGGUAGAGAAUACCAAGGCGAUCGAGUGAAUCGUGGUUAAGGAAUUCGGCAAAAUGCCCCCGUAACUUCGGGAGAAGGGGGGCCCGGAACCUGAAGUGACUUGCUCACUAGGGUGAAGGGCCGCAGAGUCCAGGGAGAAGCGACUGUUUACUAAAACACAGGUCCGUGCGAAGUCGCAAGACGAUGUAUACGGACUGACGCCUGCCCGGUGCUGGAAGGUUAAGAGGACCGGUUAGACCGCAAGGUCGAAGCUGAGAAUUUAAGCCCCAGUAACGGCGGUGGUAAUUAUAAUCAUCCUAAGGUAGCGAAAUUCCUUGUCGGGUAAGUUCCGACCUGCACGAAUGGCGUAACGACUUCUCCACAGUCUCAACCGCGAACUCGGCGAAAUUGCACUACGAGUAAAGAUGCUCGUUACGCGCAGCAGGACGGAAAGACCCCGGGACCUUUACUAUAGCUUGGUAUUGGUGUUCGGUACGGCUUGUGUAGGAUAGGUGGGAGACUGUGAAGCAUGCACGCCAGUGUGUGUGGAGUCAACGUUGAAAUACCACUCUGGUCGUUCUGGAUAUCUAACCUCGGUCCGUGAUCCGGAUCAGGGACAGUGCCUGGUGGGUAGUUUAACUGGGGCGGUUGCCUCCUAAAAGGUAACGGAGGCGCUCAAAGGUUCCCUCAGCCUGGUUGGCAAUCAGGUUUCGAGUGUAAGUGCACAAGGGAGCUUGACUGCGAGAGAGACAUCUCGAGCAGGGACGAAAGUCGGAACUAGUGACCCGGCGGUGGCUUGUGGAAGCGCCGUCGCUCAACGGAUAAAAGGUACCCCGGGGAUAACAGGCUGAUCUUGCCCAAGAGUCCAUAUCGACGGCAUGGUUUGGCACCUCGAUGUCGGCUCGUCGCAUCCUGGGGGUGGAGUUGCUCCCAAGGGUUGGGCUGUUCGCCCAUUAAAGCGGUACGCGAGCUGGGUUUAGAACGUCGUGAGACAGUUCGGUCCCUAUCCGCUGUGCGCGUAGGAAACUUGAGAAGGGCUGACCCUGGUACGAGAGGACCGGGUUGGACGAACCUCUGGUGUGUCAGUUGUCCUGCCAAGGGCACCGCUGAUUAGCUACGUUCGGAAGUGAUAACCGCUGAAAGCAUCUAAGCGGGAAGCACGCUUCAAGAUGAGGUUUCCAUGCACCAUCAGGUGUGAGAGGCUCCCGGCUAGACUACCGGGUUGAUAGGCCAGACGUGGAAGUGCAGCAAUGCAUGUAGCUGACUGGUACUAAUAAGCCGACAACUUGGU
Molecule: ribosomal RNA, 1331 nt
Filed under: metagenome
Description: bacterial LSU rRNA
Rfam family: Bacterial large subunit ribosomal RNA
Source: RNAcentral